Molecule: long non-coding RNA, 1415 nt
Organism: Aphidius gifuensis
Lineage: Eukaryota; Metazoa; Arthropoda; Insecta; Hymenoptera; Braconidae
Exons: 3
Source: RefSeq, a predicted model, not a curated record
UUGUUGAUAUUGGCAAUAUUGUGUAAAGACGCUCUAUCUCUCAUUCUUUUCUUACGUUUUUUUUCCGGUUCUGUUUUUUUUUUUUAUACAUAACGACAGUUACAAUUACACUACAAACCAAAAAAAUAUUUGUCAGUAAAUUAUAAUUACGUUAUAAUUACGUUUCAUUGCGAUACAAGAUGAUGAAUAGCAAUAUGGAUGUUGAAAACAGUCAAGAAACAACACGAAAUAAUGACUCAAAUAAUGAAGAAAAUCAAGAAUAUUCUUCUUCUCAAACAAAUAUUUCAAAGAUUUUUCACAGUCAAAUCACAAUUACAAAUGACGUACUACCUGUGAACACUGAUAAGCAACUAAAUCAUGCACAGAAUGUUACACAAAAUAAUGAAAAAAGUAAUCAGCAAAUUAUUGAACAAAAUAAUCAACAAAAUAACCAAAAAAUUACCAACAAAAUAAUCAAUAUAAUCCAUUUAUACAAUCAAUUGGUAAUGAAACAUCAAGUACACGUCCAGUUCUGGUUACUAACCUGGAUAAUAACAAUAACAUUCAAAAUAAUCAAAUCAGAAAAAAUAAUGUAUUUGGUAGUUACAACAACAAAGCUACUGCAUAUAAUAACAAAAAAAUUAGUGGAUUUAAUUAUUCCACUCGUUAUUACAAUAACAGUAAAUUCAGCAAGCAUCAACGUGAUUACCAAAAUGAUAGAUAUGUUGGACGAGGUAUUGGAUAUGAUAGACGAGGUCGUGGAUAUAGUAGCCGAGGUGGUGGAUAUGUUCGUGAUAUUAGUCGUGAUGGAAAUGGUGGUAGUAAUACAUGUGGUGGAAAUGUCGGUAACAUUCCACGUAGUGAAUAUACUCAGUCAAGAUUUUAUGGACAAAAUAGUGUCCACAAUAAGACGUAUAAAAGAAAACGAGCUGGAGCUCGUCAAACUGAGAGAGAUUUGAUAUAUUGGCGUGGCAAAGCCAAAACUCAAAAUCCAAACAGAAUUUUUAUUGAAUCAGCCAGUAAUUGUCAUUUCCAUUAAUUAAAACAUUGAUAAAUCAUCAUAAUAAACUAUUAUUUGAUAUUUCAAUAUUAAUCAUCAUUAUUAUGAACCGUCGACGGACAAGAAAAAUUUCGUAUUGUUAAGUAUCCUUUGAGUAUACAAAUCGUGAUAAAAUUAAAAUUUACAGUAAAAAUUAAAUUUAAUUGUAUUUUAAAUACAAAUAAUCCAUAUAAUUAGCUGUUUUUUUGUGAAGUUUUGAAAAUUACUCUAUUAUUAAUUCUUUUUUUUUUUUUUAAUUUUGUCCGUCUUUUAUUUUUUUGAAUUUUUGAAAAUAGAAAAUAUAGUUUUCAUAGAAAAAAAAAAAUUAAAAAAAAAAACACAGCUUUGUUGAUCAACGUAGAUAAUUACUUGAAAAAUAAAAACUUUAAAAUCCCAA